Molecule: ribosomal RNA, 1229 nt
Filed under: Astenus lyonessius
Lineage: Eukaryota; Metazoa; Arthropoda; Insecta; Coleoptera; Staphylinidae
Description: 16S ribosomal RNA
Rfam family: Archaeal large subunit ribosomal RNA (bases 1019-1177)
Source: RNAcentral
AAUAUUUAUUAUUAAUUUUUUUAAAUAAAGUAUUAUUUAUUUUUAUUAUUAUUUUAGAACCAAUUAAUUUUAUUAUAGUAAAUUAGUAUAGUGAUAGAAUUAAAUUAAAUAAUAUUAAGUAAAUUUUAUUUAUUGUACCUUGUGUAUCAGGGAUUAUUAAUUAUAAAUUAUUUAUUUAAUUUUCUCGAUUUUAUAAGAGUUAAUAAAUUAAAAUUUUUAUUGUGAAAUAAACAUUUAAAAUAUUUUAUUAGUAAUGAAACGUUAUUCGUUUAUAAAUAUAUCUGGUUUUUUAAGAAAAAAAUUUAAUUUUGUAUUUAAAAUAGUUAUAAUUUAAUUUAAAAGUAUUAUAUUAUUUAAAUAUUAAUAUAUAUUAGGAUAAGCUAAUAUAUAAAUUAAUAUAAAUUAAUAUAUAAUAAUAAUUUAUAGAAUUAGGAAUUUUUAUUGUAGUAUGUUAUAAUUAAUUAUUAGUUAUUAUUAUUUAUAUUGAUUUUAUUUUUUUUAUUAAAAUAAUUUAUUUAAUUAUAAAUAAAUUUAAUAAUGAUAAUAUUAGUAUAAUUUUUAUUUAUUAUUAUAUAUUAUAUGUAAGGUUAAAUAAAGGAAUUCGGCAAUUAAAUAUCUCGCCUGUUUAUUAAAAACAUGUCUUUUUGAAUAUAAUUUAAAGUCUAACCUGCCCACUGAAAUUUAAAUGGCCGCAGUAUUUUGACUGUGCAAAGGUAGCAUAAUAAUUAGUUUUUUAAUUAAAAGCUAGAAUGAAUGGUUGGACGAAGGUAUAACUGUCUCUGUUUAAAUUAAUUAGAAUUUAAUUUUUAAGUUAAAAAGCUUAAAUAUUUUUGAAAGACGAGAAGACCCUAUAGAGUUUGAUAAUUAUAUAAUAUAAUUAUAUUAGUAAUUAAUUAAUUUUAUUAGAAUAUUAUUUUAUUGGGGUGAUAGAAAAAAUUAAUAAACUUUUUUUUAAUUUAUACAUUUAUUUAUGAAUUAUUGAUCCAUUUUUAUGAUUAUAAGAUUAAAUUACCUUAGGGAUAACAGCGUUAUUUUUUUUGAGAGUUCUUAUCGAAAAAAAAGAUUGCGACCUCGAUGUUGGAUUAAAAUAAAUUAUUGGUGUAGAAGCUAAUUAAUUAGGUCUGUUCGACCUUUAAAAUUUUACAUGAUCUGAGUUUAGACCGGCGUGAGCCAGGUUGGUUUCUAUCUUUAAUAAAAAUUUAUAUUUUAGUACGAAAGGACCAAGUAUA